Molecule: ribosomal RNA, 433 nt
Filed under: uncultured bacterium
Lineage: Bacteria
Description: partial 16S ribosomal RNA
Rfam family: Bacterial small subunit ribosomal RNA
Source: RNAcentral
AACGAACGCUGGCGGCAUGCCUAACACAUGCAAGUCGAACGAGACCUUCGGGUCUAGUGGCGCACGGGUGCGUAACGCGUGGGAACCUGCCCUUAGGUUCGGAAUAACUCCCCGAAAGGGGUGCUAAUACCGGAUAAUGUCUUCGGACCAAAGAUUUAUCGCCUUUGGAUGGGCCCGCGUUGGAUUAGCUAGUUGGUAGGGUAAAAGCCUACCAAGGCGACGAUCCAUAGCUGGUCUGAGAGGAUGAUCAGCCACACUGGGACUGAGACACGGCCCAGACUCCUACGGGAGGCAGCAGUGGGGAAUAUUGGGCAAUGGGCGAAAGCCUGAUCCAGCAAUGCCGCGUGAGUGAUGAAGGCCUUAGGGUUGUAAAGCUCUUUUACCCGGGAUGAUAAUGACAGGACCGGGAGAAUAAGCACCGGCUAACUCCGUG